RNAcentral lists this long non-coding RNA (3155 nucleotides) under Homo sapiens (human). Its description in RNAcentral is "HSALNT0043576". The record is from RNAcentral. Lineage: Eukaryota; Metazoa; Chordata; Mammalia; Primates; Hominidae.
CAAGAGGCUGAGGCAGGAGAAUUGCUUGAACCCUGGAGACAGAGGUUGCAGUAAGCUGAGAUCGUGCCACUGCACUCCAGUUUGGGUGACAGAGCAAGACUGCCUCAAAAAAAAAAAAAAAAAGUCUAGAAGUAGGCAGUCUUUGAAAUCAUCAGGGAUUCAAACUUCUGUCUUUUUGUUUUCCUGUCUUUGAUGUUCCAUCUCAUAGUCCAAAGUGGCUGCUAAAGUUCCAGCGAUUACAUGUGCAUUGCAGCUAACAGGAAGGGAUAUUAUAUAAAGCUUAGUCAUGUGGUGAUACCUAGCUGGGAAAUGUCUUUAUUCCAGGUGACUAAAUUUGUUCUGGUGGGGUUUAUUCCAGGUUGCUCAGCUAAAAAUCAGUAUUAUUGCAAGGAAGAAGGAAAGAAUAAAUGUUGGGGAAUAGAUAAAUAUGAUGUAACUGGGAACUAUUGGGAAUAAAGUAUCCAUGAGAAUUUAAUGAAAUCAAGUCUCAAAAAGUUUGUCUUUCCACGUUAAAUACAUAAUUUAAGAUAUACAUUAAACCAUUUUCAGGAAGAGUUUUCUAAUAAAGCUAAAAGCACCACUCUCAAGAACCUGGUGUCAGAAGCACAUCACAAUUGAUCACUCUUAAUGUAGGUGUUAGGAAUGAAGAAGAGCGAGUGAAUGUUGAAAACAAAGGGCCUCAGAGACUUAUGGAUAAAUGGACUCUGGAAGGAUAACAGCAGCCUGCCACGACUUGAGGAAUGAUUUUGAUCAUUGUCAGUGGAGUUACUCUGAAUCACAGAUUUGGGACUUAGGGAGUUUUAUUUUAGUCUCAUUCUCCUAAACAGCCUUUCUGUACUUGGCUUUAAAAAUCAGAGAAAGAAAUUUCAGCUCCAAAGGACAAUAGUUUUUUUCAAAGGGGCAUUUCUUCCUCUAAAAUGAGUCAGUUGCAAUCCUGACUUGCCAUUUCCUGCAGCAAUAAUAUAACCAGUGGUGCUCUAAGUUAACUUAAUGGACUUACCUCACUAUUAGGGAGUGAUUUAUGUACCGCAAAGAAUAGAGUUCACUUUGUGUGAAGAAAAAAAACAAAACCCAAAGAACUUUCCACAUAAACCAGCCCUCACCAUCAUAUUUUGGCCCAUUUAUUCCCUCUGGAGGAUGAUUAGACCUAAACCCCUGGCAGGUGGGGACUCUUUUUCACUGGGUGUCCUCAGUGUCUAGCACAGUGGUCCUCAUAAAGCUGGCUCUCCAAAAAUAUUUGUUGAAACAAUCUGAAAAUGGUUCAUAGAGACAAUGACAAAAAGCACAAAAUAAAAAUUAAUAACACAGCUUUUUGUUGGUCUUAAAUCAUUUCUAGUAGCUCUAAGAUAAAAUGAAUUCAUAAUAAGAUGGUACUGAUACUGAGAAGUCUUGAGUGUAAAGAAGUGAUGAAGGAAAAAUAUUUAUUUGACAACUGCCCUUCAGUGUGAAAAAUCCAUAGCUGUAAACCACAAUGAAGCAAAGAAAACCUAAUCUGUAAGAGCUUAAGCAUUUUACCAUACUAGAGUUCAGGAAACAUGUCUAUUCCUUUUGCUAUUUCUGUUUGCCAGUUCUUCUGCCAUUUGCCAAAAUAAAGAUGUCCCUUCUCCAGCCCAAACUCAGCUGCAAAGGUGAACUAAUGACUUUAGAAUAGAAGACAGAUGCUUCCUGCAGGAGGAUUCUGGGGGAAGACAAAGAAUGUGUAACCAGUACUGGUUACAGUAUUUGUGAGGCCCCGUGCAAAAUGAAAACACAGGGCCCUUGUUUUGAAAUCUGGGGAAAAGUGCCAUUAAAGAUACUUAAAGAUGGUGACCGCAGAGCAUUAAACCAACCAUGAGACACUUCUGACCGUGGGACUCUGUGACUGUGCACAUCAUGCACCCUUGAAACCAGCUCUGCAUGUCACCAAGGCCACAUUUCCCCCUGGCCUGGUAAAUCAUUCAGCCCAUUCACUUGGACAAAGUACUUAAUCCAGAGUGAGACCAUGCAAGCAAGGACAAUUAUAAUUCUUCCCUGAAAUGAAUACAGCAUAAGGAAGUUGGAAGAGAGUAACUCUCUUUACUGUUGGGUUGCCAAGCCUGGAAGAUGUCAAGUUGGUGCUGCUGGCUGCUAUUUUUCCUGCCAUCUGAGAGAAGGCAUGUCUUCAGUUAAAAAGAAUAAAGCUGAACAGAGAUGAGAGAUAGAGAGCUGAAGGACUAAGGUAUUGGUUCCUAGAACCCUCCAUUCUGUUCUGUGAAUUAUUUCUGUAUCUUUUCUUCCACUAUGGAGCAAUAAAAUUAAACUUUCUUAAGCUGAGUUCUAUUGUGUAUUUUUUUUUAUAACUUGCAACCAGAAAAGUCCUAAUACAGUUCCUGUAACUGUAGAUAAGACAUUACCACCAGCAGCAAAGAGCAGGCAAUAGAUAGAGUAAAAAGAUUCAGCUCCCUACAAUAUGGUAAAGCUAUGAAAAUGAGGCAACAUAUAGGCUCAAGGUGGAAGAAUAUUUUGGAAAUUUAGCAUCCUAAUAUCUUUUGAAAAGCAGUUAAUAUUUGAAUAAUCUAGGUCCACUACAAUCAAUAUUGCAGGUAUUUCCCAAAGCAUGGUCAAAUAUGCCAUAGUUUAUGUGACAGUGUGCUAGCCUAAAAUAGGGGGUAAGAACAGAAAGCAAGAAAAAGGUAAGAAUGUAACAGUCCUGAGUUGGUUAUAAUUUCUUAGGAAUUAUAAGGGGAGGAAAGGAGUUGAGGGAUAUAAGGAUGAAUGACUGUCACAUUUAUCUACCCUUUUAAAAAUAUCUUUGUAAACCUUAUAUAUUAGAUUGCUUAUAGUUGUCUACAGUUUGUUUCUAAAGCAGUAAAGACUAUUAACAGAGGAACUUAAGGCACUGAAGCAUAACAUUGUUACAGAUAUGGUUUGGAUUCGUAUCCCUGCUCAAAUCUCAUGUACAAUUGGAGAAGAGGCCUGGUGGGAGGUGAUGGGAUCAUGGGGGCAGAUUUCCCCCUUGCUGUUCUCGUGAUAGUGAGUUUUCACGAGAUCUGAUCCUUUAAAGGUGUGUGGCACUUCUCCCUUCUCUUUCUCUUCCUCCUGCUCCACCAUGGCAAGACAUGCUUGCUUCCCCUUUGCCUUCCACCAUGAUUGUAAGUUUCCUGAGGCCUCCCAGCCACGCUUCCUGUUCAGCCUGC